Molecule: long non-coding RNA, 2263 nt
Filed under: Homo sapiens (human)
Lineage: Eukaryota; Metazoa; Chordata; Mammalia; Primates; Hominidae
Description: non-protein coding lnc-SGCD-4:2
Source: RNAcentral
AUGGGAAUAAAGAUUCAAUGUCCUCGAUUUUUUUUUUUUUGACAUUGCCAUUAACAACCUGCUGGAAGAGUUGUCUUUGAAUUAUUUUCUGAUGUGUGCCCCAAAACACGUGAGAAGUUUAGUUGUCUUUGUACAGGUGAAAGGGGGACAGGGAAAUCAACUCAGAGCCAUUACAUUGUAAGAGUUGUCUCUUUCAGAGUUGUCAAGGAUUUUAUGGUUUAAGGUGCUGACUUCAGUGAAGGAAAUGGACGAGGAGGGGAAUCUAUCUAAGAAGAAUUUUUUGAAGAUGAGAAUUUUGCUGUUAAAAACAACAAAGAAUUUCUCUUGUCAAUGGCCAACAGAAGGAAGGAUACAAAUGGUUUACAGUUCUUCAUAACAAUGAAACCAACUCUUCAUUUAGAUGGGCAUCAUGUUGUUUUUGGGCAAGUAAUCUCUAGCCAAGAAGUUGUGAGAGAGAUAGAAAACCACAAGAUGGAUGCCGCUAGCAAAGCAUUUACAGAGGUACAGAUACUCAGUUGUGGAGAGCUGAUUCCCAAAUCUAAAGUUAAGAAAGAAGAAAAGAAAAUGUAUAAAUCAUCAUCAUCUUCCUCCUCAUGAUCUAGUGACUAAGAUAGCUCAAAUGAUUCUCAGUUCUCACCUGAUUCCUGUGAUUCCGAAAAUGCUUCUGAAGAGAAAUCAAAGAAAAGAGGAAAAAACUUAGGAAAAAUUCCCAAAAACACAAGAAGGAAAAGAAGAAGUGAAAGAAAAGCAAGAAGAGUGAAUCUAGUAAGAGUGAAGCUGAAAAUCUUAGAGCACAACCCCAGUCUACUGUCCAUCCAGAAAAGAUCCCUCCUAUACCUGAAAAUAGAUUUCCUGAUGAGAAAAAGUCCUCCUAUAGCUGAUGCAAUGGAAAGGAAAAGCCAGAGAGAGAGAGAAAAAGAGAAAGAGAAUGUAAUCUAUCUAACUCCCAGCCUGCUUCAUACCAGAGACGACUUUUAGUUACUAGAUCUGGCAGGAGAAUUAAAGGAAGAGGAUCAAGGUGCUAUCAAACUCCUUCCAGAUCCAGAUCAAGGGAUUGUUUCAGACUUAGUGAGACUCCUGCACAUUGGAGGCAAGAGAUGCCGAGAGCUCAAAGGAUGAGGGUAUCAAGUGGUGAAAGAUGGAUCAAAGGGGAUAAGAGUGAGUUGAAUGAAAUAAAAGAAAAUCAGAGAAGUCUAGUUAGAGUAAAAGAGAGAAAAAUAACUAACCACAGGAAUGUAUCUGAGAGUCCAAACAGAAAAAAUGAAAAGGAAAAGAAAGUUAAAGACUGUAAAUCUAACAGCAAAGAGAGACAUCUGAAGAAAUUCAAAAAAAGAUGAUAAAUACAAUACGAACAAAGUGAAGAAAAGGGCCAAAUCUAAAAUUAAGAGUAAGAGCAAAAAGAAAUCAAAGAGUAAAGAAGGAGAUUCAAGACAUAAUAGACAUGAAGAAAAGAGGAUGAGGUCAAGGAGCAAAGGAAGGGAUCAUGAGAAUGUUAAAGAAAAAGAAAAGGAGCUUGAUUCAAAAGGAAACGAUCAGGAAAGGGGUAGAAGUAAAGAGAAGUCUAAACAGUUAGAAUCAAAGAGUAAUGAGCAUGAUCAUAGUAAAACUAAGGAAAAGGAUAGAUGUGCACAAUCCAGGAGUAGAGAAUGUGAUAUAACUGAAGGUAAACACAGUUAUAAUAGCAGAACAGAACAGCAAAGCAGAAGUAGGGACAGAAGCAGAAGAGUGUGAUCAAGAAGCCAUGACAGAGAUUGCAGCAGAAGCAAGGAGCACCAUAGAUACAGAGGAAAGGAAUACAGGAGGAGAGGACAGUCACAAAGCCGAGGGAGAAGAACACCACCAGGAAGAUCAAGAAGUAGAGAUAGGGGUAGAAGGAGGAGAGACUCACGGAGCUCAGAGACAGAAGAAAGUAAAAACAGAAACAAAGAAAAACACAGAAACCAAGAAAGUAAGAGUUCACACAGAAAGAAAAUUCUGAGAGUGAGAAAAGAAUGUACUGUAAAAGUCAUGAUCAUAAUAGCUCAAAUAAUAGCAGGGGAAAAAAAGGCUGAUAUAGAUAAAAGUCUCUUCUCAAAAAUAAAACAAAGCAGUCAGAACAAUGAAUUAAAGUCCUCCACAUUGAAAAAUAAGGAGGAUGAGAAGAUCAGAUCCUCAGUGGAAAAAGAAAACCAAGAAUCAAAGGGUCAAGAAAGUGACCAUGUACGUGAAAGAAAAAAAAUUUGAUUAUGAAUCAAGCCCUGAAACAUAUGAAGACAAAAGUGGA